GAUGAACGCUGACAGAAUGCUUAACACAUGCAAGUCGACUGGAAUUUGGGGUUUUAACUUCGGUUUGGGUGGCGGACGGGUGAGUAACGCGUAAAGAACUUGCCUCUCAGCUAGGGACAAGAUUUGGAAACGAAUGCUAAUUCCUAAUAUUAUGAUAAUAAGGCAUCCUAUACUUAUGAAAGCUAUAAGCGCUGUGAGAGGGCUUUGCGUCACAUUAGCUAGUUGGAGAGGUAACGGCUCACCAAGGAGAUGAUGGGUAGCCGGCCUGAGAGGGUGACCGGCCACAAGGGGCCUGAGACACGGCCCUUACUCCUACGGGAGGCAGCAGUGGGGAAUAUUGGACAAUGGACCGAGAGUCUGAUCCAGCAAUUCUGUGUGCACGAUGAAGUUUUUCGGAAUGUAAAGUGCUUUCAGUUGGGAAGAAACAAAUGACGGUACCAACAGAAGAAGUGACGGCUAAAUACGUG
Molecule: ribosomal RNA, 467 nt
Filed under: uncultured bacterium
Lineage: Bacteria
Description: partial 16S ribosomal RNA
Rfam family: Bacterial small subunit ribosomal RNA
Source: RNAcentral